Molecule: long non-coding RNA, 493 nt
Organism: Clupea harengus (Atlantic herring)
Lineage: Eukaryota; Metazoa; Chordata; Actinopteri; Clupeiformes; Clupeidae
Source: Ensembl
UGUGGUGGUGUGUGGUGGGGUGUGGAGGUGGUGUGUGGAGGUGGUGUAGGGGGGUGUGGAGGUGUGUAGUGGUGUGUGGAGGUGGUGUAGUGGUGUGUGGAGGUGGGUGUAGUGGUGUGUGGAGGUGGUGUAGUGGGGUGUGGAGGUGGUGUAGUGGGGUGUGGAGGUUGUGUAGUGGGGUGUGGAGGUGGUGUAGUGGUGUGUGGAGGUGUGUAGUGGUGUGUGGAGGUGUGUGGUGGUGUGUGGAGGUGUGUGGAGGCGUGUGAGGUGGUGGUAGUGGGGUGUGGAGGUGUGUAGUGGUGUGUGGAGGUGGUGUAGUGGGGUGUGGAGGCUUGUGGAGGUGUUGUAGUGGGGUGUGGAGGUGGUGUAGUGGGGUGUGGAGGUGGUGUAGUGGGGUGUGGUGGUGUGUGGAGGUGGUGUAGUGGGGUGUGGUGGUGUAGUGGGGUGUGGGUGUGGAGGGAUAAGAUGAGAUGAGUUCUGUUCUGAUGAGAUG